CCUACGGGUGGCAGCAGUGGGGAAUAUUGGACAAUGGGGGCAACCCUGAUCCAGCCAUGCCGCGUGUGUGAAGAAGGCCCUCGGGUUGUAAAGCACUUUCAGUGAGGAAGAACGCCUGGUGGUUAAUACCCAUCAGGAAAGACAUCACUCACAGAAGAAGCACCGGCUAACUCCGUGCCAGCAGCCGCGGUAAUACGGAGGGUGCGAGCGUUAAUCGGAAUUACUGGGCGUAAAGCGCGCGUAGGUGGCUUGAUAAGCCGGUUGUGAAAGCCCCGGGCUCAACCUGGGAACGGCAUCCGGAACUGUCGAGCUAGAGUGCAGGAGAGGAAGGUAGAAGUCCCGGUGUAGCGGUGAAAUGCGUAGAGGUCGGGAGGAAUACCAGUGGCGAAGGCGGCCUUCUGGACUGACACUGACACUGAGGUGCGAAAGCGUGGGUAGCAAACAGGAUUAGAUACCCCGGUAGUC
RNAcentral lists this ribosomal RNA (465 nucleotides) under Vreelandella stevensii. RNAcentral describes it as "partial 16S ribosomal RNA". It matches the Rfam family "Bacterial small subunit ribosomal RNA", at positions 338 to 795 of the family's 1533-position model. Lineage: Bacteria; Pseudomonadati; Pseudomonadota; Gammaproteobacteria; Oceanospirillales; Halomonadaceae. The record is from RNAcentral.